RNAcentral lists this ribosomal RNA (253 nucleotides) under uncultured bacterium. Its description in RNAcentral is "partial 16S ribosomal RNA". It matches the Rfam family "Bacterial small subunit ribosomal RNA", at positions 524 to 776 of the family's 1533-position model. The record is from RNAcentral.
UACGGGGGGGGCAAGCGUUGUUCGGCAUUACUGGGCGUAAAGGGCUCGUAGGUGGCCAACUAAGUCGGACGUGAAAUCCCUCAGCUUAACUGGGGAACUGCGUCCGAUACUGGAUGGCUUGAGUUUGGGAGAGGGAUGCGGAAUUCCAGGUGUAGCGGUGAAAUGCGUAGAUAUCUGGAGGAACACCGGUGGCGAAGGCGGCAUCCUGGACCAACACUGACACUGAGGAGCGAAAGCCAGGGGAGCAAACGGG